GACGAACGCUGGCGGCGUGCCUAAUACAUGCAAGUCGAACGAGAGCGACCGGUGCUUGCACUGGUCAAUCUAGUGGCGAACGGGUGAGUAACACGUGGGUAACCUGCCCAUCAGAGGGGGAUAACAUCCGGAAACGGAUGCUAAAACCGCAUAGGUCUUCGAGCCGCAUGGCUUGAAGAGGAAAAGAGGCGCAAGCUUCUGCUGAUGGAUGGACCCGCGGUGCAUUAGCUAGUUGGUGAGGUAACGGCUCACCAAGGCCGUGAUGCAUAGCCGACCUGAGAGGGUGAUCGGCCACAUUGGGACUGAGACACGGCCCAAACUCCUACGGGAGGCAGCAGGGAAUCUUCCGCAAUGGACGCAAGUCUGACGGAGCAACGCCGCGUGAGUGAAGAAGGUUUUCGGAUCGUAAAACUCUGUUGUUAGAGAAGAACAAGUGCUAGAGUAACUGUUAGCGCCUUGACGGUAUCUAACCAGAAAGCCACGGCCAACUACGUG
RNAcentral lists this ribosomal RNA (495 nucleotides) under uncultured bacterium. RNAcentral's name for it is "partial 16S ribosomal RNA". It matches the Rfam family "Bacterial small subunit ribosomal RNA", at positions 28 to 507 of the family's 1533-position model. The record is from RNAcentral.